AACAAUAUGAUACAUCUGACCUGCCAGCCUACCUUCUGGGGCUUUGCUUGAUGAGCUUGCAUUCUCAAUGCAUGGGACAAAAGCAAAGGGAACACUCUCUGUUUACCCCUUCUAAGGCCUGACCUUGGGUCCCUAGUCCGUAUCUUUGACCUUGUCAUCACCACCACAGGCAGCCAAUCUCAACUGGGAAAAGCAGUGAUUUAUGGCAUCAGAAACAAAAACAAAAGAAAAGUCUGAGAAACUCACAGCUAAGAGGAGCCUAAGGAGACAUCAUGGCUAAAUGUAGUGUGAGUGUGAUCUAUUGGAUGGAAUCCUGGUACAGAAAAAGAACAUUAGAGAGACAGCCUUGAGUGGAGAGUGAGGAGAUGGGAGUAACAUGUCAACUAUAUCAACAUUGAAGUGUAUAAUCAUACCAGGCCAACUAUGUGUGUGUGUGCCAGUGAGCUAUGAAGACCGACUUUAAAAAGAGUGGCAAACAACACUAUCUUACACAAACUCUUUCAGAAUACAGAAGAUACUCCCAGAUAAUUUUAUGUAAUCUUGAUAACAAAAUCUAGC
Molecule: long non-coding RNA, 558 nt
Filed under: Homo sapiens (human)
Lineage: Eukaryota; Metazoa; Chordata; Mammalia; Primates; Hominidae
Description: HSALNT0294120
Source: RNAcentral